RNAcentral lists this ribosomal RNA (429 nucleotides) under uncultured bacterium. Its description in RNAcentral is "bacterial SSU rRNA". It matches the Rfam family "Bacterial small subunit ribosomal RNA", at positions 355 to 775 of the family's 1533-position model. The record is from RNAcentral.
CUAAGAAUCUUCCGCAAUGGGGGAAACCCUGACGGCGCGACGCCGCGUGGACGAUGAAGGCCGUAAGGUUGUAAAGUCCUUUUGCAGGAGAAGAAUAAGGCGGGGAGUGGAAAGCCCCGCCGAUGACGUUAUCCUGCGAAUAAGCCCCGUCCAAUUACGUGCCAGCAGCCGCGGUAAUACGUAUGGGGCGAGCGUUGUUCGGAGUUAUUGGGCGUAAAGGGCGUGUAGGCGGCACGACAAGUCUGGUGUGAAAUUGCAGGGCCCAACCCUGCAGGUGCGCUGGAAACUGUCGAGCUGGAGUCCCGGGGGGGAAGCUGGAAUUCCUGGUGUAGGAGUGAAAUCUGUAGAGAUCAGGAAGAACACCGGUGGCGAAGGCGAGCUUCUAUUCGAGGACUGACGCUGAGGCGCGAAAGCGUGGGGAGCAAACAG